AUCUCUUGGUACAUGAGUGGCUACCACACUGGCUACUAUAUAGUUUCCCAGGUGUUGGAGAUCGCACCCUGGGGCUUGGGCAUCCUGGGCAAGCCCCACCACUGAGCUGUAUCUCAGCCUGGCCAGUUUUUGAAGUUUAAUGUUUCGUUGAUAAUCCCGCCACCCCCUCCCAUCUCUCCCGACUGUCUGGAUGACAC
This 197-nucleotide small RNA is filed under the name Mus musculus (house mouse). Lineage: Eukaryota; Metazoa; Chordata; Mammalia; Rodentia; Muridae. The record is from RNAcentral.